This 233-nucleotide ribosomal RNA is filed under the name uncultured Actinomycetales bacterium. RNAcentral's name for it is "partial 16S ribosomal RNA". It matches the Rfam family "Bacterial small subunit ribosomal RNA", at positions 97 to 334 of the family's 1533-position model. The record is from RNAcentral. Lineage: Bacteria; Bacillati; Actinomycetota; Actinomycetes; Actinomycetales.
GGCGAACGGGUGAGUAACACGUGGGUGAUCUGCCUUGCACUUCGGGAUAAGCCUGGGAAACUGGGUCUAAUACCGGAUAGGAGCCAUUUUUAGUGUGAUGGUUGGAAAGUUUUUCGGUGUAGGAUGAGCUCGCGGCCUAUCAGCUUGUUGGUGGGGUAAUGGCCUACCAAGGCGGCGACGGGUAGCCGGCCUGAGAGGGUGGACGGCCACAUUGGGACUGAGAUACGGCCCAG